UCGUAAAACCGGGGCACAAAGGCUGUCGCUGAUGCUUUCGAGUGUCGUGCACGCCCAAGUGUUCUCACACAUCCAUCUCACCCUUUUGUGCAUCACCGCGUGGGUCCCCCUUUGCAGGAGGGCUUGCGUUUUCACACAAAACUUGAUACAACUGUAGAAUGUUAUCUUUUGCGGUCAUACGCAAUCAAUA
Molecule: unclassified non-coding RNA, 190 nt
Filed under: uncultured Russula
Lineage: Eukaryota; Fungi; Basidiomycota; Agaricomycetes; Russulales; Russulaceae
Description: sequence contains ITS1
Source: RNAcentral